Molecule: non-coding RNA, 2940 nt
Organism: Chrysemys picta bellii (western painted turtle)
Lineage: Eukaryota; Metazoa; Chordata; Testudines; Emydidae
Source: RefSeq, a predicted model, not a curated record
GUGACUCCGGCGUUUGCUGCACGUCAGGGAAGAUUGGCUGCCCACCCUUGUAGUGCUAAAGGUUUCUUGUCCACUCAUGCAGUGUUGCCUAUUGAGGGGGACUUUAAUUGAACAAUGAUGGAUCAGAAUGAAUGGAGAUAUACAGCUGCCUGCAGUAGUUCAAAUCCUUUGUUGAUUUUACCAAAAGGUACAGUUUUUAAACAAAUUGAAACUUUAGAGUCCAGCCAGUUGCUUUCCUGCCGUGCAAUCCUUUCCCACUCACAAGAUGGUCAGAACCUCAAUAUCUUUUAAAUACAUUGGAAGAAAUGAAAAAUGGGGGGGGAGCCAGUGUUGGCAUUGAAAUUGGUGAUAAAAGUUCUAUCAAUUUAUUCUACACUUCAAUUCAUUUUAACCUGGGUCCCUCCAAAUUUUGUGUGUGACAUUUUAAGAUGUACAAAAAAAAUCCUCAUGGUCAGAGAUGUUUUGAAAUCAAAAACUAUAAAACCCCAAGUCACAUUUACAUAACAGCUUAAUGUUGUAACAAUGAAUGAGGGUUUACUCCCUGAUCAGCAGAACAGUGCUUUUAGUUGGGAGUCUACAUAUGGAUUUAGACACCUAAUUAUUCUUCUCACUGUGAUGCUGACAGAGGUACUAUCCUACAAUCCUUCUGUAAGGGGUUUCUGGAUAACAAGGGCAUUCUUUGCUAUUCAAAGUAAAUUGAGAUGAGGCCAGCUGUAAAAAUCAGAUACUCAUGGGGAUUUGGAUUCAGUAUAGCCAAAAAAGAAACCUGAACUGGGCCCAUUUUUGCAGCAUGAAAACUGUCAAGCCCUGAAGAACUCCAUGCUUUCAGGGAACCAAUGAUUUCAUAGAAGGCCUUUAUUUAUUUAAGAUAAAUGAAAGGAAACCUUUUUGUAAUUCAGUAAAUGCAAGAUUAUUUACUCCUAAAAAUGAGCCAUAAAGAACUCAAAGUGCCUCACAGAUGGGGAAAGCGAGGGAGGUACAAAGGACUCUCAGGCUGAUGCUUUAUUUUGUUAUUGCCUGUGACCUAUCCAUGACUUGUGCUAAAAAUACCCUUGACUAAAUCAUAGCCUGAAUAAUAAUCAUCAAUGAAACUCACUCAUUUGUAGUGCAGAGAUUGCCCUUGGGGCUUAUGCAAGAUCUACAUUCUCCACCCUGUGGAACAAAGAGCGGGAUGACUUUAUCUCCUAGAAAUAGAGCAGAGCAGAAGCCACACAAGUAAAAGAUUGUAGCGGGUACAGUUCAAACUAUAUUGGUACCAAGUUCUCACUGGAAAUUCCAACAGAUGGUAUAUUUGUGAUGCUGUUUAUGAAAAAUUUAAUGUCUCAUCUCCCCUUUCUCAUGGGGUGGGGGAAGAGGGGUUGAGAUGCUAAACAAGUAAAGAAUCCGGCUAAAGAUUCUCCAUAUUUUACUAUACCAAAAUUCCAGAGGAGGAGUGUCAUACCCAAUAAUGUGCAAUAUAAAGUCUAGCUGCUAACAAUAAAAAAAAAUUAAUGUGUUGUUUUGAUUAAAAUGAAAACCCUUUACUGGAGCACUAAAUACACAUUUGGGGAUAUCCAGGAAGCCAGCAUUUUGUCAUCAGAUGAAUCUCUUUAUUAAUUCCCUCCCAAAACUGUUUACAUGGUAUGGAAAGGUUGAGAACUACUGGGGUGGGGGCUUAAAGGUGCUAAAUUAAAUAGGCCUUAUAGGGUCUUUUGUAACUCCAUACAAUUAACAGGAAAUGAAGCAUUCAUUGACCGUCACUCUUGUGUCUUGAGUCUCUGCCCCAUAUCUAGUCAUGGGGAUGCAGACAGGUAAGCAACUCCCCCGAAGAUCACAGGGGGAGAAUUUGCAUGUGAGUGAGUUUACCAGCUCUUUGAUUCUCUCUGCCUUCUCCCAUGCAGUCCACUACAUUUGAAACCCAUUCUCCCUAACCCAAUAUGAUUUCUUCCCUCCAGACCCUGCUUCAAGCUCUUCCUACAUAAGCUUCUAGUCUCUCCUCAGCGAGGAGUUAGCAAGCCAGAUGCUGUAAACUCUUCUUUUUAAAAAACAGUAAUGUUCACAAGACACGUGCAGAACUUCAGUACUCAAAACACAUUGAUUUCUGUCCCAUCCUCAUCUCCUUGCAUUAUUUCUUUGUGUAUAGUCUGUAAAUUCUUCAGGGCAAGAACCUAGCGCAAUGUUGGUAUUUUAUAAAUAUUAUAAUAAUAUCAACUGUUCCACCAUUAUUGCAGCCCAAGAAGAGAUGGGGCAACAGGCCCUUUGGACAUUCUCUGAAGCUCUGGGACAGUCAGAGUUGGAUGAUACCCCCUACAUACUGGGCCAUCCCUAGGUGGGGUGCGGGCAGGGCCAUCCUUAGGAUUUAUGGUGCCCUAGGUGGGAUUAUUAAACUGGUGCCCCCAUGCCUGACUUGCUCUUAGCAACACAAACACAAGCUUACAGUAUUGGAAAACUUGCCACAUGCACUUUAUUAAAAACAGUUUAACUUAAUUAAGCACACUGUAAUGCUGGUGGACUAUCACUAAAGAAGUGGCGCUAUAGAAAAAAAAUCUGAUUUAUUGACAGAAUGAAGCAAAUAAUAUAAUAUAGCCGUGAGUCUGUGACUUUGAGCUAGUGUGAAGGCGCUCCGCCCUGACUGAGACACAGUAGAGUUGGAAACCCAGGUCAUUUUUACAAAGCCACUUUUUAGUUUUAAAUGUAUAGUGGUCAUCAGUCUUAAUGUUAGUUACUUAUCCAGUUUAAUAAGCUGGGUUUCCAAGCAGUGGGAAAAUAGACCCCUAGUUUUACUCCUAGGUAAAGCACAAAGUGACCAGAAGUGCCUUAUUUUUGUUUGGAAAGACAUACAUGAUAAAUCACUGCCUCUAAAGUUCCAUCAGAAUCUUAGUACAACAUAUGGUCACUCUCUAUAGGAGCAUAUUACAGUUGUUGGAGGGCUCUAUUCAGCAGUAACAGGGCUAUAGGAAA